GUAGGGGGCAAGCGUUACUCGGAUUUACUGGGCGUAAAGCGAAUGUAGGCGGCUAAUUAAGUCAGUGGUGAAAUCCCUCAGCUCAACUGAGGAACUGCCUUUGAUACUGAUUGGCUAGAGGACAGGAGAGGAAAGUGGAAUUCCCGGUGUAGCGGUGGAAUGCGUAGAUAUCGGGAGGAACACCAGAGGCGAAGGCGGCUUUCUGGACUGGUCCUGACGCUGAGAUUCGAAAGCUAGGGGAGCAAACAGGGAUUAGAUACCCUGGUAGUCCUAGCUGUAAACGAUGGAUACUAGAUCUUGCAAGAUUUUGCUUGGUCGUAGCUAACGUGUUAAGUAUCCCGCCUGGGGAGUACGGUCGCAAGGCUG
RNAcentral lists this ribosomal RNA (366 nucleotides) under uncultured organism. RNAcentral describes it as "partial 16S ribosomal RNA". It matches the Rfam family "Bacterial small subunit ribosomal RNA", at positions 527 to 896 of the family's 1533-position model. The record is from RNAcentral.